GAUCUUUUCCUUUGUGCUGGCUUUGACCGUAUGUAAUUUUGGGGCUUAAACAUGGUAGCCUUAUGGUUGCCGGCCCCAAAAACAAUAUAUCAUCCUUAUGAAAACUUACUGAACAACUAAACAAUGAUUUAAUAAUCUGUUUAAAACAACUUUCAACAACGGAUCUCUUGGUUCUCGCAUCGAUGAAGAACGCAGCGAAAUGCGAUACGUAAUGUGAAUUGCAGAAUUCAGUGAAUCAUCGAAUCUUUGAACGCACAUUGCACUCCUUGGUAUUCCGAGGAGUAUGCCUGUUUCAGUAUCAUGAGCACUCUCACACCUAACCUUUGGGUUAUGAUGUGGAAUUGGGAUGCGCCGACUUUCAUUAGCCGGCACUCCUAAAAUGUAGCUCUUGGCUGUUUCCUACUACAGCAGUUUGGCCUAAUAGUUUUGACUUUUGUCAAAUCUUUGGCUACAUUUGCUUCUGGAAAUCAGUCUUGAUAAUACAGAAAACUCAUUUCAAACUUUGAUCUGAAAUC
This 515-nucleotide ribosomal RNA is filed under the name Umbelopsis isabellina. RNAcentral describes it as "eukaryotic LSU rRNA". The stretch from base 148 to 301 matches the Rfam family "5.8S ribosomal RNA". The record is from RNAcentral. Lineage: Eukaryota; Fungi; Mucoromycota; Umbelopsidomycetes; Umbelopsidales; Umbelopsidaceae.